Molecule: ribosomal RNA, 460 nt
Filed under: uncultured bacterium
Lineage: Bacteria
Description: partial 16S ribosomal RNA
Rfam family: Bacterial small subunit ribosomal RNA
Source: RNAcentral
CCUACGGGAGACAGCAGUGAGGAAUAUUGGUCAAUGGGCGCGAGCCUGAACCAGCCAAGUAGCGUGAAGGAUGACUGCUCUACGGGUUGUAAACUUUUUUUAUAAAGGAAUAAAGUGAGGCACGUGUGCCUUUUUGUAUGUACUUUAUGAAUAAGGAUCGGCUAACUCCGUGCCAGCAGCCGCGGUAAUACGGAGGGCACGAGCGUUAUCCGGAUUUAUUGGGUUUAAAGGGAGCGUAGAUGGGUUGUUAAGUCAGUUGUGAAAGUUUGCGGCUCAACCGUAAAAUUGCAAUUGGUACUGGCAGGCUUGAGUACAGUUGAGGUAGGCGGAAUUCGUGGGGUAGCGGUGAAAUGCUUAGAUAUCACGAAGAACUCCGAUUGCGAAGGCAGCCUACUAAACUGCCACUGACAUUGAGGCUCGAAAGUGUGGGGAGCAAACAGGAUUAGAUACCCCAGUAGUC